UACGUAGGCAGCGAGCGUUGUUCGGAGUUACUGGGCGUAAAGCGUGCGCAGGCGGUUUGUUAAGUCUGCUGUGAAAUCCCCGAGCUCAACUUGGGAAUUGCAGUGGAUACUGGCAGGCUGGAGUAUGGUAGAGGAAGGUGGAAUUCCCGGUGUAGCAGUGAAAUGCGUAGAGAUCGGGAGGAACACCAGUGGCGAAGGCGGCCUUCUGGACCAAUACUGACGCUCAUGCACGAAAGCGUAGGGAGCAAACAGG
Molecule: ribosomal RNA, 253 nt
Filed under: uncultured bacterium
Lineage: Bacteria
Description: partial 16S ribosomal RNA
Rfam family: Bacterial small subunit ribosomal RNA
Source: RNAcentral